Molecule: ribosomal RNA, 892 nt
Filed under: Ganoderma adspersum
Lineage: Eukaryota; Fungi; Basidiomycota; Agaricomycetes; Polyporales; Polyporaceae
Description: partial large subunit ribosomal RNA
Rfam family: Eukaryotic large subunit ribosomal RNA
Source: RNAcentral
AACUAACAAGGAUUCCCCUAGUAACUGCGAGUGAAGCGGGAAAAGCUCAAAUUUAAAAUCUGGCGGUCUCUGGCCGUCCGAGUUGUAGUCUGGAGAAGUGCUUUCCGCGCUGGACCGUGUAUAAGUCUCUUGGAACAGAGCGUCAUAGAGGGUGAGAAUCCCGUCUUUGACACGGACUACCAGUGCUUUGUGAUGCGCUCUCAAAGAGUCGAGUUGUUUGGGAAUGCAGCUCAAAAUGGGUGGUGAAUUCCAUCUAAAGCUAAAUAUUGGCGAGAGACCGAUAGCGAACAAGUACCGUGAGGGAAAGAUGAAAAGCACUUUGGAAAGAGAGUUAAACAGUACGUGAAAUUGCUGAAAGGGAAACGCUUGAAGUCAGUCGCGUUGUCCGGAACUCAGCCUUGCUUUUGCUUGGUGCACUUUCCGGAUGACGGGUCAGCAUCGAUUUUGACCGUCGGAAAAGGGCUGGAGUAAUGUGGCACCUCCGGGUGUGUUAUAGACUCUGGUCGCAUACGGCGGUUGGGAUCGAGGAACGCAGCGCGCCGCAAGGCAGGGGUUCGCCCACUUUCGCGCUUAGGAUGCUGGCAUAAUGGCUUUAAACGACCCGUCUUGAAACACGGACCAAGGAGUCUAACAUACCUGCAAGUGUUUGGGUGGUAAACCCGAGCGCGUAAUGAAAGUGAAAGUUGAGAUCCCUGUCGUGGGGAGCAUCGACGCCCGGACCAGACGUUCUCUGACGGAUCCGCGGUAGAGCAUGUAUGUUGGGACCCGAAAGAUGGUGAACUAUGCCUGAAUAGGGUGAAGCCAGAGGAAACUCUGGUGGAGGCUCGUAGCGAUUCUGACGUGCAAAUCGAUCGUCAAAUUUGGGUAUAGGGGCGAAAGACUAAUCGAACCA